AUAUUACUCCCUCCGUUUGGAAUUACUUGUCUUGAAAAUGGAUGUAUCUAGAACUAAAAUACAUCUAGAUACAUCCAUUUCAACGACAAGUAAUUCCGAACGGAGCGACAAGUAAUUCCGAACGGAGGGAGUAGUAA
Triticum aestivum (bread wheat) is the source of this 137-nucleotide non-coding RNA. The record is from Rfam. NCBI's taxonomy places the organism in Eukaryota, Viridiplantae, Streptophyta, Magnoliopsida, Poales, Poaceae.